RNAcentral lists this ribosomal RNA (429 nucleotides) under uncultured Acidobacteriota bacterium. Its description in RNAcentral is "bacterial SSU rRNA". It matches the Rfam family "Bacterial small subunit ribosomal RNA", at positions 355 to 776 of the family's 1533-position model. The record is from RNAcentral. Lineage: Bacteria; Pseudomonadati; Acidobacteriota.
UGGGGAAUAUUGGACAAUGGGGGAAACCCUGAUCCAGCAACGCCGCGUGGAGGAUGAAGGCCUUCGGGUUGUAAACUCCUGUCAGGAGGGGCGAAAGGCCGGUGGCGAACAGUCAUCGGCUCUGACGGUACCUCCAGAGGAAGCCCCGGCUAACUCUGUGCCAGCAGCCGCGGUAAUACAGAGGGGGCGAGCGUUAUUCGGAAUCAUUGGGCGUAAAGGGCGCGUAGGCGGCUUGGCAAGUCAAAGGUGAAAUCCCUCGGCUCAACCGAGGAACUGCCUUUGAAACUGCCUCGCUCGAGGCCGGGAGAGGGUAGUGGAAUUCCCAGUGUAGCGGUGAAAUGCGUAGAUAUUGGGAGGAACACCGGUGGCGAAGGCGGCUACCUGGACCGGUUCUGACGCUGAGGCGCGAAAGCGUGGGGAUCAAACAGG